UACGUAGGGUGCGAGCGUUAAUCGGAAUUACUGGGCGUAAAGCGUGCGCAGGCGGUGAGUUAAGUCUGCUGUGAAAGCCCCGGGCUCAACCUGGGAAUGGCAGUGGAAACUGGCUCGCUGGAGUAUGGCAGAGGGGGGUGGAAUUCCGCGUGUAGCAGUGAAAUGCGUAGAGAUGCGGAGGAACACCGAUGGCGAAGGCAGCCCCCUGGGCCAAUACUGACGCUCAGGCACGAAAGCGUGGGGAGCAAACAGG
This 253-nucleotide ribosomal RNA is filed under the name uncultured bacterium. RNAcentral describes it as "partial 16S ribosomal RNA". It matches the Rfam family "Bacterial small subunit ribosomal RNA", at positions 524 to 776 of the family's 1533-position model. The record is from RNAcentral.